Non-coding RNA from Taeniopygia guttata (zebra finch), 1826 nucleotides. The record is from RefSeq and is a predicted model, not a curated record. Lineage: Eukaryota; Metazoa; Chordata; Aves; Passeriformes; Estrildidae.
GGGCGCUUCCCGGGCUCCGAGCUCCUUGCAAGUGCCUGUUCGAGGCCAGCGAGUUCCAAGGCAGCUCCCGGCGCUGGCGACCCCGUGGUUCUCCGCUCUCCCCGGUUUUGCCGGGCUUGCAGCUCACCGGUGAGGUUUAGCGACCAACGUGGCACUGAAAGCCACGGGGGUGCCAGUUCCCAGCCCGAUGCGGGGACACCGGCUACUUAUCAGUGAGUUUAGUCUGGGCUAAAAAUCUGUAAGGUCCUGUGCCGGAAGUCAAAAAUUCGUUCGAUAAACCUCCUGCCUUUGAAACCUACCGAACUCCCGACUGUAGGGCCAGAAAUAUCACAGAAUCAAUUAGGCUGGAAACGACCUCUGAGAUCAUCGAGUCCAACCCAUGACGGAACACCACCCUGUCAACCAGAUGAUGGCACUGAGUGCCACGUCUAGUUUUUCCUUAAACACCUCCAGGGAUGGUGACUCUACCAUCUCCCUGGGCAGUCCAUCCCAAAAGACGUGCAGGGAGGUCACUGGGAGUGUCCCUCCCUACUGGAGCCCCACCAGCGUGGUGCCAGCCUUGCCAGCUUGUUUUGCCAACGUUUCCUCCCCAGCACAAUCACUAAAUACCCUUUGCUGUCAUCUGUCCUUGGCAGAGGCAAACAAGAGCUGCUGGUCGUGCUGUAGAUGUAUCCACAGCAGUGGUUUUUCAUGCAAGUGUCACUCCAGCCAUCUUCUCUCUGCAGUGCUCAAGAAGUCCCAGCCUGCAGAGAGAAAGAGAAGUGUACUCUGAAACCAAAGCAUGGCUAAUGUCAUUGGACUAUAUCCUGAUAUAAGGUACAAUUGCUGAUGUCCUCAAAUUCCACUGCCAUAGAAGAAAAAGAGGAGUAAGAAAAUCAGCAAAUCCCGAGGAUUGCAUUGGAUUGGACUCUGUACACUCCACAGAGCUGAGCUCCCGUGGUUCUGUUUAAUUGGAUCUUUUUCAAACCAUCACUUUGGCAGCACUCAAUAACCUCCAUACUGAUCUUUUAUUAUCUCUAACAAAUAAAUGACUGCAGGAUUAGGCUGGAUGGUCAAUAUUUGUGACCUUUGCUGUAACCUUUGUCAGUCUGUGCAGAAACAGGGUGACUCUUCCCGGACUGCUCCAGUCUGGGAUGCCCGGAGCCACUCACCCUGCUUGCUGCCGUGGGGAACAGCUCUGUUCUCUUAUUGUGGUGCUUAAUCCAUUUAUUUCUGUCUUAAAAUCUCAUUUUUAUACAAGAUUACUGAUAUAUUUGUGUAACGCCGGAGGGGAUCCCGCAUUUUCGGGCUGCUGGAAGGGCAGGGCUGUCUGCCGCUGACCACCGCUCCUGCUACUCAGCAGUUUCUCGUUUCCAAACCCUUUUUUUUUUUUCUCCAAGCGUCGUCCCCAUUUUUGCAGUGCCACCAAGCGGAUGGUUCCCCCGUCAGCAUUUGAAUUUCCCACUUCUAAACAAACAGAGAACUCUCCGGUAGUUGAGCAUUGUGUUAAACGCAACCCACCUCAGCAAACCGCGGGGUUGGUGCGAUGGCAGGAAAUAAAGGGUCGUUAAUAAAAACCACUUUCAUAAUGUGUUUGUGGCCCUUUCAGACUUGUGAAGACCAGGUUUCGGCUCCUCAGGAGGUGGCACAACGCGGAUAUUAAGGAAGGGUUCAGAGCCAGGCUCUGCUCCAGGGGGCAGCAAUGGCACCAGAGGAACGAGCAGGAACUGAUGCCCACAGGUUCCACCUGAACGUGAGGAAGAACUUCCCUGUGAGUGACUAAGCCAUGAAGAGACACCAGAGAGGGUGUGGAGUCUCCCUCACUGCCGAUAUAUAAUAUAGAUAUA